This 210-nucleotide unclassified non-coding RNA is filed under the name uncultured Rhodotorula. RNAcentral's name for it is "sequence contains ITS2". The record is from RNAcentral. Lineage: Eukaryota; Fungi; Basidiomycota.
ACUCUUCAACCCACCUGUUUCUUGUUAAACGGAUUGGUGUUUGGAUUCUGAGUGUUGCUGGUCUUCGGACGUAGCUCAUUCGUAAUGCAUUAGCAUCUCAAUUUCGAAACUCGGAUUGACUCAGCGUAAUAGACUAUUCGCUGAGGACACCUCACGGUGGCCGAAUUAGAAGACAGUAGAAGCUCCUAACUACGAUCUAGUCAUUUUAAU